UCCCUUAGAUGUUCUGGGCUGCACACGUGCUACACUGGCAGGUUCAGCGAGCUUCAUGCCCUGAUCUGAAAGGAAUGGGAAAUCUUUUCAAAACCUGCCGUGCUUGGGAUAGAUGUUUGCAAUUAUUCAUCUUCAACGAGGAUUGCCUUGUAAGCGCACGUCAUCAGCGUGCAUUGAAUACGACCCUGUAUUCUGUACACACCGCCCGUCGCUCCUACCGAUUGAAGUUUUCGGUGAGUUGACAGGAGGAUUUUUUUGAAACUGGUUCGCCAGUGGAUUUUAGAUCCAAAUGCCAACGAAUCGAUGGCUUUAGAGGAAGGAGAAGUCGUAACA
Molecule: ribosomal RNA, 333 nt
Filed under: uncultured eukaryote
Lineage: Eukaryota
Description: partial 18S ribosomal RNA
Rfam family: Eukaryotic small subunit ribosomal RNA
Source: RNAcentral